RNAcentral lists this ribosomal RNA (420 nucleotides) under Triticum aestivum (bread wheat). RNAcentral's name for it is "partial small subunit ribosomal RNA". Lineage: Eukaryota; Viridiplantae; Streptophyta; Magnoliopsida; Poales; Poaceae. The record is from RNAcentral.
AUGCAGGCAGAGGGUGGUGGGCUUGGUUUACUCACUCUGUCAGGCUUCCAUGCCCAAUUAUGGAAGAGAGAGGCCAAUUCUGAUGGUGCUGCUUCAUGGAUCAUGGGAAGAACUUUUGAACUUGACAAGCUAAUUUCCCUUGAUUCAGAGAAGAUGGGGCGCGUAUUGGUAGCAGGGUUUGCGGAGUACAAUAAUAUGGUGCUCCUGUGUACACCUAUUGGACUCUUCAUUGUCCAGCUUCAGUCAUUGGAAUUCAAGAAACUCUCUGAAACCUGCGUCCCCUUGCACUAUCAUCCAUUUGAAAGUGUUUACCCUGCAGGUAAUGGCAUGCCUUGGCACUUCAUCUAUGAAAAAAAGAAGUUGAUUUUCCAUAAUUGGUUGAUGGAAUCCUGCCUACUUGUUUCUUUUCCUGCUUCAUGA